GCACAUUUCAAUGAUUGGAGUUUUCCUUGUCCUUGUGAAACUGUCUUUCUCCCUUCCCCUCUCAUUUCAGAUUCUUUGUCCCACAACCACAGCACAGAGACUACCAGGCCCAAUUAGAAUCUGGCUGCUAAUCAAGAGUAAACAUCAGCAUGAAUAUAUCAUAUGGCAUCUGUUGAAGGAAUUCGAAAUGCAAAGGAAGAGAAGACAUAUCUGGUGUCACAUAACUGAAGGAUUUCCACAUAGAAGAAAGAUUAGAAUUCCUUUACUUGGUCUCAGAGAACAAAACCAAGAACCAGGCAGAGAAUCAGACUUCAGCUGGAUGAAAUGGAAAUCUUCCUAAAGAUUAGGACUAUGCGAAAGUGGGAUGGAUUGACUGGAAAGAGUAUCUUCUCCCUCAGUAAAUGUCUUCAAACAUAUAUUGGAUACCCACUUAUUCAGUAUGGUACAGAGUUUCUUUUUUCAGGUAUUGGCUGAGUCAAGUCAAUCAUCUCCUAAAGAACAAAGAUUUUUGUUAAACUUAAUUAUAAAUAUUGACCAUCUUUACUGAUCAAAUUAACUAGACAAUUUCUUAACCCUGUGUAGUCAUACUAUCAGGAGAAAGAACAGAAAAAAAUGGAUAAGGUGAUCAGUGCCAAAUGAAUGGAAGUAGAGAAGGGAAGCAACUGUGAAUGACUAUAAGACUUAGCAAUUUAAGAGACAAGGUCAAGAUGGCAUAGACCACAGAAUGCCCAAUCUAGAAAUUACCUUAGAGUAUCUACUCUAACUCCCUCCUUUUGCAGAUGAGGAAACUGAGACUAAGGAAGGCUAUUAAGUUCCUACUAACCCUGCUCAGACCAUGCCAGGAAAAUUACUGUACAAAUGAGAGUCAUGUUUAGGAUUAGGAUAAAAGUGCUGUCCAAUUAAAAUAAUCCACCAAAGAAGGAGAUGAAGGUCUUUUCCUUUGUUUGCCAAAAGGCUUAAUGGGAUUUUCCUCUUUAAGUAAUCUCAUUACCAAAACGCAAUUCAUUUCACCUUUCCUUAGAGGUCAAACCUAGAGACUUUGAUCCAAUCCACAAUGAUUCUAUAUCAUUCAACAUUCUAUGGGCUAGACAUAACACCCAAGAAGAGCUCAACAAACAGUUGUAAAGAAGAUGAGAAAUGAGGUGUUUCCAAAAAAGGGAAAAGUUUCCAAAUAUUUUCUUUCUAUAGAACUUAGUUUCUAACAUCUGACGUUGUUCUCUCCUCUCUGCACCCUGAGGAGCAUUCUAAGGCCUCUCCUUGGCCAAUCUUUCAAUAAAAAGACUAUCCUAGAGAAGUCUAAGUGACA
Molecule: long non-coding RNA, 1306 nt
Filed under: Monodelphis domestica (gray short-tailed opossum)
Lineage: Eukaryota; Metazoa; Chordata; Mammalia; Didelphimorphia; Didelphidae
Description: lncRNA (ENSMODG00000039882.1)
Source: RNAcentral